CCUACGGGAGGCAGCAGUAGGGAAUCAUCCGCAAUGGACGAAAGUCUGACGGUGCAACGCCGCGUGAACGAAGAAGGUUUUCGGAUCGUAAAGUUCUGUUGUUAGGGAAGAACAAGUACCGUUCGAACAGGGCGGUACCUUGACGGUACCUAUCGAGGAAGCCCCGGCUAACUACGUGCCAGCAGCCGCGGUAAUACGUAGGGGGCAAGCGUUGUCCGGAAUUAUUGGGCGUAAAGGGCGCGCAGGCGGUUUCUUAAGUCUGAUGUGAAAUCUCGUGGCUCAACCACGAGCGGUCAUUGGAAACUGGGGAACUUGAGGACAGAAGAGGAGAGCGGAAUUCCACGUGUAGCGGUGAAAUGCGUAGAUAUGUGGAGGAACACCAGUGGCGAAGGCGGCUCUCUGGUCUGUGACUGACGCUGAGGCGCGAAAGCGUGGGGAG
RNAcentral lists this ribosomal RNA (439 nucleotides) under uncultured Gracilibacillus sp. RNAcentral's name for it is "bacterial SSU rRNA". It matches the Rfam family "Bacterial small subunit ribosomal RNA", at positions 338 to 768 of the family's 1533-position model. Lineage: Bacteria; Bacillati; Bacillota; Bacilli; Caryophanales; Bacillaceae. The record is from RNAcentral.